UUGUCAGUAAUGCAUUUUGAGUGAUUGAAUUAUAAGAUAAUAAUUCUAGUAACUAAAGUGCAGGAUUGGAAA
This is a microRNA precursor of Saccoglossus kowalevskii, 72 nucleotides long. Lineage: Eukaryota; Metazoa; Hemichordata; Enteropneusta; Harrimaniidae. The record is from RefSeq.